This 1084-nucleotide long non-coding RNA is filed under the name Brassica napus (rape). Its description in RNAcentral is "long non-coding RNA (BNAP_LNC005095)". The record is from RNAcentral. Lineage: Eukaryota; Viridiplantae; Streptophyta; Magnoliopsida; Brassicales; Brassicaceae.
AGGUAAGGAUGGUGUGGGGGAGAGUAGUGGUGGACUGGAGGAGGAGGUGACUUAUAUACGUACUUUUUCUUAGGUGGUGGUGGGGAAUGAUAAACCGGAGGAGGAGAGUAGUGCUUAACCGGAGGAGGAGGGGAUUUGUAGACGUAGUGCUUCUUUGGUGGUGGUGGAGAAUGGUAAACCGGUGGUGGAGAAUAGUGUUUAACUGGAGGAGGAGGGGAUUUGUACACGUAAUGUUUCUUUGGUGGUGGUGGGGAAUGGUAAACCGGAGGGGGAGAGUAGUGUUUCACUGGAGGAGGAGGAGAUUUGUAGACGUAGUGUUUCUUUGGUGGGGGUGGGGAAUGGUAAACUGGAGGAGGGGAGUAGUGCUUAACCGGGGGAGGAGGGGAUUUGUACACGUAGUGUUUCUUUGGUGGUGGUGGAGAGUGGUAAACUGGAGGUGGAGAAUAGUGCUUAACUGGAGGAGGAGGUGAUUUGUACACGUAGUGUUUCUUUGGUGGUGGUGGAGAGUGGUAAACCGGGGGAGGAGAGUAGUGUUUAACCGGUGGUGGAGGAGAUUUGUAGACAUAAUGCUUUUUAGGUGGGGGUGGGGAAUGGUAAACUGGAGGUGGUGAGUAGUGUUUAACCGGAGGAGGAGGAGAUUUGUAUACGUAAUGUUUUUUGGGUGGUGGUGGUGAAUGGUAGACUGGUGGGGGAGAGUAGUGCUUAACAGGUGGGGGUGGAGAUUUGUACACAUAGUGCUUCUUGGGUGGUGGUGGAGAAUGGUAAACAGGAGGAGGAGAAUAGUGUUUAACCGGAGGAGGAGGGGAUUUGUACACAUAGUGCUUCUUUGGUGGUGGUGGAGAAUGGUAAACCGGUGGUGGAGAGUAGUGCUUAACCGGAGGAGGAGGGGAUUUGUACACGUAGUCCUUUUUUGGUGGUGGUGGAGAGUGAUAAACCGGUGGUGGAGAAUAGUGCUUGACCGGAGGAGGAGGGGAUUUGUAUUCGUAGUGUUUUUUAGGUGGUGGUGGAGAAUGGUAAACUGGAGAGGGAGAGUAAUGCUUAACAGGAGGAGGUGGAGAUUUGUAUUGGUAGUGUUUAACCGGAG